GACAGAGGGUGCAAACGUUGUUCGGAAUUACUGGGCGUAAAGCGCGUGUAGGCGGCCAUCUAAGUCGGGCGUGAAAUCCCACGGCUCAACCGUGGAAGUGCACUCGAAACUGGAUGGCUAGAGUCCGGAAGAGGUGGGUGGAAUUCCUAGUGUAGAGGUGAAAAUUCGUAGAUAUUAGGAAGAACACCGGUGGCGAAGGCGGCCCACUGGUCCGGUACUGACGCUGAGGUGCGAAAGCGUGGGGAGCAAACAGG
Molecule: ribosomal RNA, 254 nt
Filed under: uncultured bacterium
Lineage: Bacteria
Description: partial 16S ribosomal RNA
Rfam family: Bacterial small subunit ribosomal RNA
Source: RNAcentral